Camelus dromedarius (Arabian camel) is the source of this 1678-nucleotide RNA transcript. It is a transcript of the gene named arginine and serine rich protein 1, with no coding region annotated. NCBI's taxonomy places the organism in Eukaryota, Metazoa, Chordata, Mammalia, Artiodactyla, Camelidae. The record is from RefSeq and is a predicted model, not a curated record. The transcript has 6 exons.
AGGGCGUCAGCUUCUGGUACUUUCGACGCGUUUUCGGACGCUCGGCUCAGAUCGCGUCCGGACGUCGGAGGUGGAGGUGUAGGUUUUGCUUUUUGGGAGCGGCAGCGAAAGGCCUUUCUUCGUCUUAAGCUUCGAAAGGAAGGCGUCUGUCGGGCCUUUCUUUCCGUGUUGAGAGAGGCGUCGACGGCCUGCGAAACAAGUUUCCUGGAAGAGAUCCUCGGAGAAAAGGAAGCUCGGAAGCUGUCGGCCGAGAUGUCCAGUUACGUCAACGACCUGUGGCCGGGCUCGCCGCGCAAGGCGUCCCCCUCGUCGUCGCGGUCGGGCCCGUCCAGCCGCCUGUCCUCAGCGUCGGGGAGCCGCUCUCCCCAGAGCUCUCGAUCUCCGUCCCGGUCCAGCAUCUCGAGCCGCUCGUGGUCCAGGAGCCGCAGCCCGCCCCGGCGGAGGAGCAGGUCGAGGUCCCACUCCCGGAGGCGCUACCAGAGGAGGUACCGGCGCUAUUCCCGAUCCUACUCGCGGAGCCGCUCGCGGUCCCGCAGCCGCCGGUACCCGGAGAGGCGCUACGGCUCCCCCAGGAGGUCCUGCCGGUCCCGCAGCCGCUCCCGCAGCCGCUCCCGCUCCCGGGGCCGCUCCUAUUACCGGAGGGCCUACGCUAUCGCGCGCAGCCGCCGGUACUACGGCUUCGGCCGCACCUUCUACUCCGAGGAGCGCAGAAGCUGGAGGGGGCGAUCCCGGACCAGGUCGCGGAGCCCAUCCCCCUUUCGCCUAAGUGAAAAAGAUCGAAUGGAGCUGUUAGAAAUAGCAAAAGCCAAUGCAGCAAAAACAUUAGGAACUGCCAACUUUGACUUGCCAGCUAGUCUUAGAACUGUUUCUGUAUCUAAAGAAACAAACCGUGGUACGGCUGUACUGAAUAACCGGGCAAAGUCUGAGAAAUCAUGAAUGUGGUCUCCAGACAUUGAUGAAGAAAAUCUGUUGAUGUUUUGAGAGAUUACAGAAGAAGAGGCCUGCUUCACUUGCAGAUAAGUUUAUUACAAUUCUCCAGAAAUUCUGCAGUAUAAAAUUGAUAGCUUUAAACGUUUAAGGUAGUUAGGAAUUGAUAGGCAAACCCACAUCUGAGUCUGAAUGAGAGGAGAUAAUCCAUCUUUCCUAUCUUAACCGAGCCUAAGUAUUAGUGAUAGACAAAUAAGAUCUUAGUUGAGUUGCUUUUUCGGAUGAUCAGGUUCCCAACUAGACUGACAAAUGCCUUAGUUCUUUGAAACUAGGUAUUUUCUGGUACGACUACUUUCAAAGUUAUUGAAUUUGCAUCAGGAGAUACAAUACUGCUUUAUGGGGAAGAGUGUUUUAAGCCUAUCAUUCAAGCACCUUUGUUAUGGGGAAAACUCAACAGAGUACCAUGUUUAUUUUAGGCUGUUAAUUAUUUGGUUAGAUCUCUCCAACUAAAUUUAUAAUACAUUUUUGGGCUGCUUUUUAUACAGUACUGUAAACCAAGGGUAUAGCUUUUUAAAAUACAUAUUUUUUCUUACCUGUCUAGCUGUCGGAAAAGUUAACAGAAGAUGAAACUAAAAAUCCCAGUGGAAAGUCUUCCCAGCAAAAAAGCAUAGCUUUUAGCUCUAAUAAUUCUGUAGCAAAGCCAAUGCUUCAGAAGUCAGCUAAAGCUACUGCUGAAGAGACCUCUUCAGGG